UACGUAGGGUGCAGGCGUUAAUCGGAAUUACUGGGCGUAAAGGGCGCGUAGGCGGCCUUCUAAGUCGAACGUGAAAUCCCCGGGCUCAACCCGGGAACUGCGUCCGAUACUGGAAGGCUUGAAUCCGGGAGAGGGAUGUGGAAUUCCAGGUGUAGCGGUGAAAUGCGUAGAUAUCUGGAGGAACACCGGUGGCGAAGGCGACAUCCUGGACCGGUAUUGACGCUGAGGCGCGAAAGCCAGGGGAGCAAACGGG
This 253-nucleotide ribosomal RNA is filed under the name uncultured bacterium. RNAcentral's name for it is "partial 16S ribosomal RNA". It matches the Rfam family "Bacterial small subunit ribosomal RNA", at positions 524 to 776 of the family's 1533-position model. The record is from RNAcentral.